UGAAUUGUACAGAGUAUAAACAAUGUAAGGAUUUAUACAGAAUGAAUCAAAUUUUUCAGUACUAAGAAAAAAAACUUAACAGUCUCGAGAGUCUCCUCGAUCAUAUCCCUAUAGCAUCAAGAAGGCGCGAAUGUUCUGACACAGAAACCAAUGAAUUCGCGACAAUGGCACCACUAGCAGCAACUGCAGGAACUCCAAUGCCAGGAAAAGUAGAGUCUCCACAGCACAUGAGUUGUGGAAUUGGUGUUGAGUGUCCAGGAAACGUUCCUUUACCUGCUAAUAUAGCUGGCCCAUAGGUCCCUCUGUUUCUUCUAAGAAAUCUUUGAUGUGUCAACGGAGUUCCCACUAAUUUCACCUCACACUUAUCGCGAUUAAAUCCUGGCCCAAGUGCUUUCUCUACAGCCUUCCACAUUACCUCGGAUCUUUCAGCCUUGAGGUUUUUGUACUCAUUGCUUCGGCGAUCAAGACCUUCCCAAAUUUCAAAUGGCUCAGUUCCGGGGGUAUAAGCAUGCAAAACGUGCUUUCCAGGUGGAGCAAGAUCUGGACUAAGCACACUCGGGACAGAUAUCAGUACAACGUUCUGAUCAGCAUCAACCCCUCGGUCCCAGUCAUUAACUACUAUAUGAUGGAUUCCCAGGUCAUCAGAUAUACCCUCUGCAUCAAAACCCAAAUGCAGAUGCAUGAAUGAUUCACACUGUUGAGUCGUUUUAAUCCCGUCCUGGUAUGACUUCGGGACAGCUUCUGGAGGCAAUAAACUCAGUGUAUCCCACAUAGAUGCAUUGCUGACUACAGCCUUCCUAGCACGGACAAAUUGGCCACCUCUUAGUUUCACUCCAACAGCUCGACCCUUUUCAACAACUAUGUUUUCUACGUGACUCUUGAGAGAAAUCCGUCCACCAAACUUUUGUAAUCCUCGAACAAGAGCCUCAACAAUUGCUCCACUUCCAUGAAGUGGAUAUUCUAGAGUACAACCUGGCUUAUACCAUUCUGAGAACAUGUACACCAUUUCUGCUGAGAGUAUGCCGUUAGUUUUCACCCCGGCAAGCAAGAAAGCUAGGAGAUCCAGCCAAUUUCGUAUAAAAGGGUCUUUUAUCCCCAAAGAAUCAAUGAUAUCUGAAAAGGGUCUGAGAAGCUUGGUAGCACCAAGGGCUCCUUGAGGUCCCAUUUGAGCAAAAGAUUUUAAGAGAGAAGGUGCAUAUCUAGCUGCAGCAGUCGAAAGAACGCCCAAGUCCCCUCGGAUAGAUAGUGGAGGCAGAGCCAUUGCAGCUGCUGAGAUUGGAAGUAUCGCGUCAAGAAGUUUCCGCCACUCUCUCACUGAAUCUGGUCCUGCAUACUUCUCUAGAUCCUUAAAAAACUCUGUUGGGCCAAUGCGUGACAGGAAUUCACCUUCAGGUACAUAUACCAUCCACGAGUCAUAAUUGACACAGGGAAUCGAUUCACCUAAUGCAUCAAGAACCUGUGCUAAUGGAUUAGCCUGAGGACCUCUUGAUUGGAAACCAGAGAACAGCGAUGGACCAGAGUCGAAUUUGUACCCUUUAACAUCAAAAGAGUGAGCUGCACCUCCAGCUACAUCAUGGCUUUCGAGCACUAAAACAUCUUGUCCAUACCUAGCAAGAAGUCCAGCACAACAUAGCCCACCUAUACCGCUCCCAAUAACAACGAUAUCUGCUUCUGGCUCGCCUGCACAUUAUUCUGAGACGGAUUGUUUGGAAGGAAGAGUAGCAGAGGUAGAAACUUCACUACGCAUCGAAAAUCUACGUUUUCGAUUCGAUGAGCUGAAAUUGAAGAAUGGA
RNAcentral lists this unclassified non-coding RNA (1793 nucleotides) under Hevea brasiliensis (rubber tree). Lineage: Eukaryota; Viridiplantae; Streptophyta; Magnoliopsida; Malpighiales; Euphorbiaceae. The record is from RNAcentral.